RNAcentral lists this ribosomal RNA (253 nucleotides) under uncultured bacterium. Its description in RNAcentral is "partial 16S ribosomal RNA". It matches the Rfam family "Bacterial small subunit ribosomal RNA", at positions 524 to 776 of the family's 1533-position model. The record is from RNAcentral.
UACGGAGGGUGCGAGCGUUGUCCGGAAUCACUGGGCGUAAAGGGCGCGUAGGCGGCGCGGGCAGUCAACGGUGAAAGCUUGGGGCUCAACCCCGAGUCGGCCGUCGAUACUCCCGUGCUGGAGCACUGUAGAGGCAGGUGGAAUUCCGGGUGUAGCGGUGGAAUGCGUAGAGAUCCGGAAGAACACCGGUGGCGAAGGCGGCCUGCUGGGCAGUAGCUGACGCUGAUGCGCGACAGCGUGGAGAGCAAACAGG